AUGGAAAGGUUUUUUACAGCAAGGGUAAUGAAGCACUGACACAGGUUGCCCUGGGGGGUGGGGGCUGCUCUGUUUCUGGAGACACUCAAGGUCAAGCUGGAAGGGGCUCUGAGCACCUGAUUGAGACAUAGGCAUCCCUGUUCAGUGCAGAGGCAUUGGACCAGAUGGCCUUUAGGGCGUCCCUUCCAACUGAAAUAAUUCUAUGACUCUACUUUUCAGAACCCUACUUCUGCUCUAGCAGAGAAGGGAGCCCUCCUUCUGAGCUCUGAGUGCCAGGAGCAUACAUUCAACUGUGCCUUUACUGCCAUCCCAGGCUGACAGGCACGCCCAAGCACCUCAUUAAUCCAAGCAGAGACGUUUCAGGUGCCAUGUUUAAAACGUGCCAAUUAAAACUGCAACUGCUCACAGUAUGAUAAUAACUGUCACACAGUGAGCUCUGAUCCCCGUUAUUUUCCCAUUAGCUGAUGCUCGCUGACUCUUUGUCAGCCAGCUGCUGAUUGGGGAGCUGUCUAGACGAUGAAUUAUCUUAUUUAGGGUUGAGCUAAUUCACGUUGUAUCCCUAAUGAAACCGAAGUUCACCUGCGUGAUGCUGACCUAACCCUACCCCCAGGCGUUCCGUGGAGGCAGCGCAGUGCAGCAGUCGGCAGAGGGCGGCGUGGGAGCGGUGCGGUCAUAAGCAGAGCCCGAGGCUGCCCCGGGGCUGCGGGCUGCUGCUGGGGGCUGUCCCGAUCCGACUCCGUGUUCUGAAAGAGAAGCUGCUCAGCUCCUGGAAUGCAUGUUGUGAAGCUGAAGGCACUAUUGAAGAUGCUGGAGAGUUGCUGUGUCUGGAUAUCAAGUAUUAUCCCACACUGGUUUUCAGUAGGACAAAAUGCCAUCCGAUUCUUUCCCCUCUUGAACAAACUUGUGCUAACAAAAUAACAGAAAGGAAGGAAGAAAAAAAACCACACAGAAAUAUGUGAGCUCUGCUGAGAAUGAGUCAAUCCCUGAAACCCAGCAGGGGCACUGGCUGCUCUUCUUAUGGAGCUCAGUGGCUUUCAUCCCAAUUCAAGAGUCUCCUACUCCUCCCUCCCAGCUGAAGGCAGAUGUGGGUUCACUGGCAACACUGGGCCUUGUUCUCCGUGAGUGUUUAAAGCCUGAGCAAUCAUUUUAAAUUGAAAGCAGAGGUGGUGAUGCUGUUACAAGAUUGUCUAGAGCAGCAAUUCCCAAAUUGUAAGACAUGAGCACAUUUACAGGAAAGAGUUUUCAUGAAGCUUGGACUAGAAAUCUGCAGAGAAAAGCAGGACUAUGGUGCAGAGCAGCAUCUUCUCAGAGCAUACACUAAAAAAUGCUCAAAAG
Molecule: long non-coding RNA, 1335 nt
Filed under: Phasianus colchicus (ring-necked pheasant)
Lineage: Eukaryota; Metazoa; Chordata; Aves; Galliformes; Phasianidae
Description: lncRNA (ENSPCLG00000005372.1)
Source: RNAcentral